CGGGGGGGCAAGCGUUGUUCGGAAUUACUGGGCGUAAAGGGCUCGUAGGCGGCCAACUAAGUCAGACGUGAAAUCCCUCGGCUUAACCGGGGAACUGCGUCUGAUACUGGAUGGCUUGAGUUUGGGAGAGGGAUGCGGAAUUCCAGGUGUAGCGGUGAAAUGCGUAGGUAUCUGGAGGAACACCGGUGGCGAAGGCGGCAUCCUGGACCAACACUGACGCUGAGGAGCGAAAGCCAGGGGAGCAAACGGGAUUAGAUACCCCGGUAGUCCUGGCCCUAAACGAUGAAUGCUUGGUGUGACGGGUAUCGAUCCCUGUCGUGCCGAAGCUAACGCAUUAAGCAUUCCGCCUGGGGAGUACGGUCGCAAGGCUG
Molecule: ribosomal RNA, 371 nt
Filed under: uncultured organism
Description: bacterial SSU rRNA
Rfam family: Bacterial small subunit ribosomal RNA
Source: RNAcentral